RNAcentral lists this ribosomal RNA (500 nucleotides) under uncultured bacterium. RNAcentral's name for it is "partial 16S ribosomal RNA". It matches the Rfam family "Bacterial small subunit ribosomal RNA", at positions 30 to 523 of the family's 1533-position model. The record is from RNAcentral.
AUUGAACGCUGGCGGCAUGCUUUACACAUGCAAGUCGAACGGUAACAGGGUGCUUGCACCGCUGACGAGUGGCGAACGGGUGAGUAAUGCGUCGGAACGUGCCGAGUAGUGGGGGAUAACGCAGCGAAAGUUGUGCUAAUACCUCAUACGUACUGAGGGAGAAAGUGGGGGACCUUCGGGCCUCACGCUAUUCGAGCGGCCGACGUCUGAUUAGCUAGUAGGUGAGGUAAAGGCUCACCUAGGCGACGAUCAGUAGCGGGUCUGAGAGGGUGGUCCGCCACACUGGGACUGGAACACGGCCCAGAUUCCUUCGGGAGGCAGCAGUUGGGAAUUUUGGACAAUGGGGGAAAGCCUGAUCCAGCCAUGCCGCGUGUCUGAAGAAGGCCUUCGGGUUGUAAGGGACUUUUGUCAGGGAGGAAAUCCCUAGUGCUAAUAACACUGGGGGAUGACAGUACCUGAAGAAUAAGCACCGGCUAACUACGUGCCAGCCGCCGCGGUAA